GUCCUCGUAGCUCAGUCGGAUAGAGCGCUGGAUUCCUAAUCCGGAGGCCGUAGGUUCAAUUCCUAUCGAGGACACCA
Molecule: transfer RNA, 77 nt
Filed under: Candidatus Margulisiibacteriota bacterium
Lineage: Bacteria; Bacillati; Candidatus Margulisiibacteriota
Description: tRNA-Arg
Rfam family: tRNA
About the family: Transfer RNA (tRNA) molecules are approximately 80 nucleotides in length. Their secondary structure includes four short double-helical elements and three loops (D, anti-codon, and T loops).
Source: RNAcentral